Molecule: ribosomal RNA, 290 nt
Filed under: uncultured bacterium
Lineage: Bacteria
Description: partial 16S ribosomal RNA
Rfam family: Bacterial small subunit ribosomal RNA
Source: RNAcentral
UUUUCCCUACGGGAGGCAGCAGUAGGGAAUCUUCCACAAUGGGCGAAAGCCUGAUGGAGCAACGCCGCGUGGGUGAAGAAGGUCUUCGGAUCGUAAAACCCUGUUGUUAGAGAAGAGAGUGCGUGAGAGUAACUGUUCACGUUUCGACGGUAUCUAACCAGAAAGCCACGGCUAACUACGUGCCAGCAGCCGCGGUAAUACGUAGGUGGCAAGCGUUAUCCGGAUUUAUUGGGCGUACAGAGAACGCAGGCGGUCUUUUAAGUGUGAUGUGAGAGCAUUCGGCUGAACCG